UAUGUUAUAGAUUUUAGGGAUUUAAUACUAAUGGUAGUAUAGGACAUAACUUAAUAUUUUAUCCCAAACUACAUUUUAAGGAAGGAGUUAAAAAUUUGGUAGGCACGAGUGGGAUCGAACCACCGACCACCACCA
This 135-nucleotide antisense RNA is filed under the name Beggiatoa alba B18LD. Its description in RNAcentral is "Bacterial antisense RNA HPnc0260". It matches the Rfam family "Bacterial antisense RNA HPnc0260". The record is from Rfam by way of RNAcentral. Lineage: Bacteria; Pseudomonadati; Pseudomonadota; Gammaproteobacteria; Thiotrichales; Thiotrichaceae.